CAGUAGCCGCGGUAAUACGAGGGGGGCAAGCGUUGUUCGGAAUUAUUGGGCGUAAAGGGUGCGUAGGCGGUUUGAUAAGUCAUCUGUGAAAUCUAUGGGCUCAACCCAUAGUCUGCAGGCGAAACUGUCGGGCUUGAGUAUUGGAGAGGUGAGUGGAAUUUCCGGUGUAGCGGUGAAAUGCGUAGAUAUCGGAAGGAACACCUGUGGCGAAAGCGGCUCACUGGACAAUUACUGACGCUGAUGCACGAAAGCUAGGGGAGCAAACAGGAUUAGAUACCCGCGUAGUCCCUGUCUCUUAUAA
Molecule: ribosomal RNA, 301 nt
Filed under: uncultured bacterium
Lineage: Bacteria
Description: partial 16S ribosomal RNA
Rfam family: Bacterial small subunit ribosomal RNA
Source: RNAcentral